AUGAACGCUGGCGGCGUGCCUAAUACAUGCCAGUCGAGCGAACGGACGAGAAGCUUGCUUCUCUGAUGUUAGCGGCGGACGGGUGAGUAACACGUGGAUAACCUACCUAUAAGACUGGGAUAACUUCGGGAAACCGGAGCUAAUACCGGAUAAUAUUUUGAACCGCAUGGUUCAAAAGUGAAAGACGGUCUUGCUGUCACUUAUAGAUGGAUCCGCGCUGCAUUAGCUAGUUGGUAAGGUAACGGCUUACCAAGGCAACGAUGCAUAGCCGACCUGAGAGGGUGAUCGGCCACACUGGAACUGAGACACGGUCCAGACUCCUACGGGAGGCAGCAGUAGGGAAUCUUCCGCAAUGGGCGAAAGCCUGACGGAGCAACGCCGCGUGAGUGAUGAAGGUCUUCGGAUCGUAAAACUCUGUUAUUAGGGAGGAACAUAUGUGUAAGUAACUGUGCACAUCUUGACGGUACCUAAUCAGAAAGCCACGGCUAACUACGUG
RNAcentral lists this ribosomal RNA (496 nucleotides) under uncultured bacterium. RNAcentral describes it as "partial 16S ribosomal RNA". It matches the Rfam family "Bacterial small subunit ribosomal RNA", at positions 29 to 507 of the family's 1533-position model. The record is from RNAcentral.